AUCAGUCUGGCUCUUGAUCCUAACGAGCUAGAUGAUCCAUCCAUGUACAUGGUCUAGAGUUCCUCAUGUUCUUCUUCUUUGGGGCUGGUUUCCAUCGGUUCUUCUUUAGAAAUAGUGCACUCUUGGAUGAAAUCGGCAAAUACUUAUGCUUUAAUUGAAGGUUGGGGCUGAAAUUUCACAUCGAACUCUAAUAAUUUAAUGGCCCACUUAGCUACCAGAUCCAAUGUAUCAGGUCAGUGGAGCACUAUUUUCAAAGGUUGGUUGGUGAGGGUUAUUAUGAUGUAAGCUUGGAAAUAAGGACGGAGCUUUUUGGCCAUAGUAAGAAGUGAGAAGAUU
Molecule: long non-coding RNA, 336 nt
Filed under: Elaeis guineensis (African oil palm)
Lineage: Eukaryota; Viridiplantae; Streptophyta; Magnoliopsida; Arecales; Arecaceae
Description: long non-coding RNA (EGUI_LNC007499)
Source: RNAcentral